This 492-nucleotide ribosomal RNA is filed under the name uncultured bacterium. RNAcentral's name for it is "partial 16S ribosomal RNA". It matches the Rfam family "Bacterial small subunit ribosomal RNA", at positions 29 to 507 of the family's 1533-position model. The record is from RNAcentral.
AGUGAACGCUGGCGGUAGGCCUAACACAUGCAAGUCGAACGGCAGCACAGUAAGAGCUUGCUCUUACGGGUGGCGAGUGGCGGACGGGUGAGGAAUACAUCGGAAUCUACUUUUUCGUGGGGGAUAACGUAGGGAAACUUACGCUAAUACCGCAUACGACCUACGGGUGAAAGCAGGGGAUCUUCGGACCUUGCGCGAUUGAAUGAGCCGAUGCCGGAUUAGCUAGUUGGCGGGGUAAAGGCCCACCAAGGCGACGAUCCGUAGCUGGUCUGAGAGGAUGAUCAGCCACACUGGAACUGAGACACGGUCCAGACUCCUACGGGAGGCAGCAGUGGGGAAUAUUGGAGAAUGGGCGCAAGCCUGAUCCAGCCAUACCGCGUGGGUGAAGAAGGCCUUCGGGUUGUAAAGCCCUUUUGUUGGGAAAGAAAAGCAGCAGGUUAAUACCCCGCUGUUCUGACGGUACCCAAAGAAUAAGCACCGGCUAACUUCGUG